GACGGGGUGGUUAAGUGGUUAGCACAUUGGCCUUACAACUCCGGGGUUGGGGGUUCGAAUCCUGCCUCUGCCC
Non-coding RNA from Pangasianodon gigas (Mekong giant catfish), 73 nucleotides. The record is from the annotation of a GenBank genome assembly. Lineage: Eukaryota; Metazoa; Chordata; Actinopteri; Siluriformes; Pangasiidae.